UAAUACUUGUUCACUUCGUUGCAAAGUCCCUCGUAGUAAAAUCCGAUGACCAUCGUGUCGUUGUACAGCUCGUUGAAGAACCGCGCAGCGUCUUCCGGGCUCAGCCAGUUCACCAGUAUUCCCAUAUCGCAAAGAAGGUCGAUGUCCUUGCUCGAAUCGAUGAGAUUAUCCAUCAGGACGGCGUAAGAUGUUACCUUGUGGGGGCGGCUGUGACAGCAUUGCUUGAAGGCGAUGAGGUUCCUGAAGAGCGGCCCUGUCGUCUCGUCGAUUCCUAGUGGUGGAAUGGUGAACACCCCGUUUUCGAAAUUUAUGUUCAUUAUGCAAUCCGAGGUUUUGAAACUUUUUUGGAAUUUAAUGCCGGCUUCGGACAGAGUUGUCGCGUUUGGAACCCUCUGCGGCGGCGGUCUCUCCUCGCUCUGCUGUUGGUCAUCAUUCCCUACUUUUCGUUUGCAGCCUAAACCUUCUUCUUUACACGGGAAAACGAUCCAGGUUCUUAUGAGAUCGAGUAUGUGCAGGGGUUCGUGAGGGAGAUUCAGACACGGUUUGAAAAUAAAAUCGUCUGCCACGGAUUGUUUGAAGAAGUUGAGGACAAGGUCGGGGAGGGAGGCGGCAUUUCCUUCGGAAGUAGUAUUCUUCACGGCGGUUAAAUUGUAUAACCGCUCGAGAACAAACCAUGGCAGCUGAUUUUCUAGCAGGAGAAGAUCAUGGAAAAGAUAUUGCGGCAUGCAGGAGACAUUGAAAACAGGGUCGUUCUCGUCUCGUUGAUCGACGGAAAAUCCUUUUCGAAAGAGUUCGAUUAGGAAGCAUCCGUCGAUUAUCAUCAUCUCAAUGAAGUCUUUCUUGUUGAAAUGAUCCAAUGGCUCUGCGUAACAAUCACGAGCGCGCUUCUUGAAAUCCACGACACCUGUGAUCAAGUUUGCCAAAGUUAUGUUUGCGUCUGCGAGAAGGCACUGUAAGUACCAGCGCUUCACCUUUUCCAUGAGUUGGAAUUUAUCGCCACCGCGGCCUCGGUGAAGGGGUCCGAUUGAGACGAUAUCAGGUUCGUAUGCCUGUAUUUUUUUUUCGCCGAAUCGGAUGGGGAACUCUGAAUAUGCAGCACGAUGCUGGCAAUGGCGAAUGGUUGAGAAGCUUUGCUCCGAUGGUGUUAGUCAAUUCUUCAACGAUACCGUCAGUGUCUAUAUGUAUGGAUUCCGCGGAAUUAUUAUCAUCAACUUUGCGACUUUCUCUCUUAUGUUUAGUGGCGAAUCUACCAAAGGACGAGGAGUGGCAGCAUGAGACGGGAAUCAAGGCGGGGAGCUGUAAAUCCCCUUCUCUCUCGUCGGAAUACAGGGCAACUGUAAUACUUGGUUGUGGCUCGUGCAUCGUCUUGGUCGAAUUUGCAGAGGAAGGGCGAUAGUUUGGUUGGAUUUGCAGAGGAAUGACGAAGACGGAGGAGAGAGGUUUGAGGAAUGAGUAUUUUUUAUUGAACAAGACUUGGCUGCUGAAGAAUGAGCAGCACGCCUGCUGAGAGCAGGGUUGGACAUCUGUUCAAGUUAUGAUCUUUUUAGUCACAACUUGAACAUGUGUUGCGCUAUGACAGGCUUUCAGCAGGGGUUGCUGAUUCUUUCAGCAGCCAAGUUAAAUCCUUUUUUAUUAGUUAGCCCAGCUGGCUUCUUGUGUUUUUGGAAAGAAUAUUAUGGAAAGAACUUGGCUCAGCAGCCGACCUUGCUUACAAUCAAUCCGGAAUGAACAUGUAUCCAAGUUUCUUAUUAAAAAAUCAAAAUUUAGACACGUGUUUAUCCUGAAUUGGUUGUAAUCAUGACCGGCUGCUGAAUUUACAGCAGCCAAGUUGUGUUGGAAUAUUAUUUUCUAUACUAAAACCUAGUGGAAAAUCACUGUUCACUAACAGUGCUACCUGGUUUUGCCCCUGAUCUAACACACGGUUUUCAGCCUUUUAAUUCCUAUUGGUGAUGCUGACAGCAUGUUCUGGUUUACAUAUGUCACGUGUUGAUCAUCCUCUUCCAUUUAAGAGACAGACAGAGGAAAAGGUGGAUGCAUUGCAGUUGCCUGGUGGCAGUAACCAAAGCCCAACCCGGUUGGCCUCCACCGUUCAUCAUGUGAGAGGGGCGACUGUUCACCAGCAGUGAAUUCUCAAAGCUGGCCUUCCAUUCCUUCCUUGACGGGUCUUUUUUCCCUCCCUGCUGCAGAAAAAUGAUCUCCUUGUCCUCAUUAUUAUCCUUCUUUUUUUCGAGAUUCUUCCGCUCUUUAGCCACAUGUUGAUCAUCCUGUGUAUCUUUUUUUUCAUUCGGACUCCCUCUUCGAUUACAGCGUUUUUUCCUUGACUAAUUCACACCUGGCAGCAAUGGUACAUGCCUUUCCACCGAAAAAUAAUUAAAAAACCUUACCUGUUCCACACCUUAACACCAAAAAAUAAUUAAAAAAACCAAAAAAAGAUAGAAAAGGAGAAAAAGGAAGAGAGAGAAACAAAAGCUGAGCAUGGAUUGUGAGAGAGGGCGUCCAUCACCAGAAAAAAAAUUAAUUAAAAAACACAACAUCAUGGCAUCUGGAACAGUUCCCCACCACUGUUCAUCACCUCCUCUUCAAUCAUCCUGUUCAAGCGUUGAUCAUUGUUGAAGGGCUCUGCUUCGACUCCUUCUCGAUUUUGGAGUAGGACUUUUUUUUCUCAACUGCAAUGUCGCAUAAUUUCUAAUUUAGUUGAUUUCUUUUAUAAUUAAUCUUUAAAUGAUGAAUCCAAAAAUAAAUAUUCCGAUCAUCGAGUAACACUGAAGGAAGAUAAAGAGAGCCACAAUGAGAAAGACCGAUCAAGGUCUUAUAUCUAUAUUAGUUUAGGUAGAAGAUAAAUAACAAUGUAAUAACAUCUUAUUUCGUGAUAGGACAAGCCACGUGAUCAAGCCGUCACACCCAAAUUCUGUCUACAUGGUUGUCCCAAAAAACUUCAAAUGACAAAACUUGUAGCUCUCACAAGUUCUAACACACACAAAAACCCAUCACAUGUCCAAACCUUAAGCGUUGGAAGCGAAAGAAAAUCAAGACAAAUAACAAAUUGAUACAACUAUUUAGGAGGAUGAUAAUACUGAUGAAUUGCAUAUACAGUCUGCAACAUUGUGAGCACCAGCAGAAUAAACGCAGCGACCAAAGAAAUAAUCGCCCACGGCGUACCGAAAUGCUCGCGCCUCAGCUUUUCCAUCCACUUGUUCCAGUCAGUCUUGUAAUACUUGUUCACUUCGUUGCAAAGUCCCUCGUAGUAAAAUCCGAUGACCGCCGUGUCGUUGUACAGCUCGUUGAACAACCGCGCAGCGUCUUCCGGGCUCAGCCAGUUCACCAGUAUUCCCAUCUCGCAAAGAAGGUCGAUGUCCUUGCUCGAAUCGAUGAGAUUAUCCAUCAGGACGGCGUAAGAUGUUAUCUUGUGGAGGCGGCUGUGACAGCAUUGCUCGAAGGCGAUGAGGUUCCUGAAGAGAGGCCCCGUCCGCUCGUCGAUUUCUAGUGGUGGAAUCG
Molecule: long non-coding RNA, 3495 nt
Filed under: Malus domestica (apple)
Lineage: Eukaryota; Viridiplantae; Streptophyta; Magnoliopsida; Rosales; Rosaceae
Description: long non-coding RNA (MDOM_LNC017138)
Source: RNAcentral